ACGGGAAGAGCCCAAACCAACAAGCUUGCUUGUUGGGGUUGUAGGACACUCUAUACGGAGUUACAAAGGACGACAUUAGACGAAUCAUCUGGAAAGAUGAAUCAAAGAAGGUAAUAAUCCUGUAGUCGAAAAUGUUGUCUCUCUUGAGUGGAUCCUGAGUACGACGGAGCACGUGAAAUUCCGUCGGAAUCUGGGAGGACCAUCUCCUAAGGCUAAAUACUCUCUAGUGACCGAUAGUGAACCAGUACCGUGAGGGAAAGGUGAAAAGCACCCCGGAAGGGGAGUGAAAUAGAACCUGAAACCGUGUGCUUACAAGUAGUCAGAGCCCGUUAAUGGGUGAUGGCGUGCCUUUUGUAGAAUGAACCGGCGAGUUACGAUUUGAUGCAAGGUUAAGCAGUAAAUGUGGAGCCGUAGCGAAAGCGAGUCUGAAUAGGGCGUUUAGUAUUUGGUCGUAGACCCGAAACCAGGUGAUCUACCCUUGGUCAGGUUGAAGUUCAGGUAACACUGAAUGGAGGACCGAACCGACUUACGUUGAAAAGUGAGCGGAUGAACUGAGGGUAGCGGAGAAAUUCCAAUCGAACCUGGAGAUAGCUGGUUCUCUCCGAAAUAGCUUUAGGGCUAGCCUCAAGUGAUGAUUAUUGGAGGUAGAGCACUGUUUGGACGAGGGGCCCCUCUCGGGUUACCGAAUUCAGACAAACUCCGAAUGCCAAUUAAUUUAACUUGGGAGUCAGAACAUGGGUGAUAAGGUCCGUGUUCGAAAGGGAAACAGCCCAGACCACCAGCUAAGGUCCCAAAAUAUAUGUUAAGUGGAAAAGGAUGUGGCGUUGCCCAGACAACUAGGAUGUUGGCUUAGAAGCAGCCAUCAUUUAAAGAGUGCGUAAUAGCUCACUAGUCGAGUGACACUGCGCCGAAAAUGUACCGGGGCUAAACAUAUUACCGAAGCUGUGGAUUGUCCUUUGGACAAUGGUAGGAGAGCGUUCUAAGGGCGUUGAAGCAUGAUCGUAAGGACAUGUGGAGCGCUUAGAAGUGAGAAUGCCGGUGUGAGUAGCGAAAGACGGGUGAGAAUCCCGUCCACCGAUUGACUAAGGUUUCCAGAGGAAGGCUCGUCCGCUCUGGGUUAGUCGGGUCCUAAGCUGAGGCCGACAGGCGUAGGCGAUGGAUAACAGGUUGAUAUUCCUGUACCACCUAUAAUCGUUUUAAUCGAUGGGGGGACGCAGUAGGAUAGGCGAAGCGUGCGAUUGGAUUGCACGUCUAAGCAGUAAGGCUGAGUAUUAGGCAAAUCCGGUACUCGUUAAGGCUGAGCUGUGAUGGGGAGAAGACAUUGUGUCUUCGAGUCGUUGAUUUCACACUGCCGAGAAAAGCCUCUAGAUAGAAAAUAGGUGCCCGUACCGCAAACCGACACAGGUAGUCAAGAUGAGAAUUCUAAGGUGAGCGAGCGAACUCUCGUUAAGGAACUCGGCAAAAUGACCCCGUAACUUCGGGAGAAGGGGUGCUCUUUAGGGUUAACGCCCAGAAGAGCCGCAGUGAAUAGGCCCAAGCGACUGUUUAUCAAAAACACAGGUCUCUGCUAAACCGUAAGGUGAUGUAUAGGGGCUGACGCCUGCCCGGUGCUGGAAGGUUAAGAGGAGUGGUUAGCUUCUGCGAAGCUACGAAUCGAAGCCCCAGUAAACGGCGGCCGUAACUAUAACGGUCCUAAGGUAGCGAAAUUCCUUGUCGGGUAAGUUCCGACCCGCACGAAAGGCGUAACGAUUUGGGCACUGUCUCAACGAGAGACUCGGUGAAAUCAUAGUACCUGUGAAGAUGCAGGUUACCCGCGACAGGACGGAAAGACCCCGUGGAGCUUUACUGUAGCCUGAUAUUGAAAUUCGGCACAGCUUGUACAGGAUAGGUAGGAGCCUUUGAAACGUGAGCGCUAGCUUACGUGGAGGCGCUGGUGGGAUACUACCCUAGCUGUGUUGGCUUUCUAACCCGCACCACUUAUCGUGGUGGGAGACAGUGUCAGGCGGGCAGUUUGACUGGGGCGGUCGCCUCCUAAAAGGUAACGGAGGCGCUCAAAGGUUCCCUCAGAAUGGUUGGAAAUCAUUCAUAGAGUGUAAAGGCAUAAGGGAGCUUGACUGCGAGACCUACAAGUCGAGCAGGGUCGAAAGACGGACUUAGUGAUCCGGUGGUUCCGCAUGGAAGGGCCAUCGCUCAACGGAUAAAAGCUACCCCGGGGAUAACAGGCUUAUCUCCCCCAAGAGUUCACAUCGACGGGGAGGUUUGGCACCUCGAUGUCGGCUCAUCGCAUCCUGGGGCUGUAGUCGGUCCCAAGGGUUGGGCUGUUCGCCCAUUAAAGCGGUACGCGAGCUGGGUUCAGAACGUCGUGAGACAGUUCGGUCCCUAUCCGUCGUGGGCGUAGGAAAUUUGAGAGGAGCUGUCCUUAGUACGAGAGGACCGGGAUGGACAUACCUCUGGUGUACCAGUUGUCGUGCCAACGGCAUAGCUGGGUAGCUAUGUGUGGACGGGAUAAGUGCUGAAAGCAUCUAAGCAUGAAGCCCCCCUCAAGAUGAGAUUUCCCAACUUCGGUUAUAAGAUCCCUCAAAGAUGAUGAGGUUAAUAGGUUCGAGCUGGAAGCAUGGUGACAUGUGGAGCUGACGAAUACUAAUCGAUCGAAGACUUAAUCAA
RNAcentral lists this ribosomal RNA (2664 nucleotides) under Staphylococcus aureus. RNAcentral's name for it is "partial 23S ribosomal RNA". It matches the Rfam family "Bacterial large subunit ribosomal RNA". The record is from RNAcentral. Lineage: Bacteria; Bacillati; Bacillota; Bacilli; Caryophanales; Staphylococcaceae.